GUCGUUGCCCUAUUGCCGGUGCCUCUUUCGCGGGCGCCGGGCGGGGCGAAUGUUGGCUUCCCGGGAGCAUCGUCUCACGGUUGGUCGAAAGUCGGGCCCGUGGCGGGGUGCAUCGCGACGGAUGGUGAAUGAGGAAAGGCUCGAGACCAGUCGCGUUCCCCGCCGCUUGGGGGCUCUGUGACCC
Molecule: unclassified non-coding RNA, 184 nt
Filed under: Behaimia cubensis
Lineage: Eukaryota; Viridiplantae; Streptophyta; Magnoliopsida; Fabales; Fabaceae
Description: internal trancribed spacer 2
Source: RNAcentral